GAAUGUGAGGGAGGUCUGGCUGUGAAUGUCUAUCACCCCACUGAUUUCUAGGGCUGAUUAGGCUGAUCUAGCUGACCAGGCAAGUGUCCUUGUUCUCCUUCACCACUUCGUGUGUGUCCCUCAUAAAGCUGUGCCCCUCAUAAAGCUGCGUCUUCAGGAACCACCUUCCCUUAUACAGAGGACUGUAAUUUCAUCAAGAGCAUAGGAGUAGCUGCUCUCCCCUGCUAGAACCUCCAAACAAGCUCUCAAGGCCUGCACACAACUUAAUUUACAUGUGUGAUUAUAUCUAUUUCAUUUUAUAUGUGUAGCAAUUAAGAAU
RNAcentral lists this small nuclear RNA (319 nucleotides) under Marmota marmota marmota (Alpine marmot). Its description in RNAcentral is "7SK RNA (ENSMMMG00000011346.1)". It matches the Rfam family "7SK RNA". From Rfam's summary of the family: 7SK was discovered as an abundant small nuclear RNA in the mid-70s but a possible function has only recently been suggested. Two independent studies have found that 7SK RNA binds the CDK9/cyclin T complex (known as elongation factor P-TEFb). The record is from Rfam by way of RNAcentral. Lineage: Eukaryota; Metazoa; Chordata; Mammalia; Rodentia; Sciuridae.